CCGCCGGCGACCGGCGCACGGGCGAGUAACACGUAUGCAACCUGGCCGUGACAGAUGGAUAACCGGGAGAAAUCCCGCCUAAUACAACAUAAUGCCGGGAGGGGACAUCCCCUGCCGGUCAAAGGGGGCGACCCCGGUCACGGAUGGGCAUGCGGCGCAUUAGGUAGUUGGUGGGGCAACGGCCCACCAAGCCGACGAUGCGUAGGGGUUCUGAGAGGAAGGUCCCCCACAUUGGAACUGAGACACGGUCCAAACUCCUACGGAAGGCAGCAG
Molecule: ribosomal RNA, 273 nt
Filed under: uncultured bacterium
Lineage: Bacteria
Description: partial 16S ribosomal RNA
Rfam family: Bacterial small subunit ribosomal RNA
Source: RNAcentral